CACUCCCCUUCCUCAAGGACUUAACUUGUGCAAGCUGACUCUCAGCACAUCCAAGAAUGCAAUUAACUGAUAAGAUACUGUGGCAAGCUAUAUCGGCAGUUCCCAGGAAUUCGCCCAGUUAGUAGCGCCCAGAGCCCCUGUGUUUGUGUCCGUGUUUGUGUCCGGUUGAUAACGCCCAAAGCCCCGUGCCUAUCACCUUGUGAUAGAUUUAAAGCCUCUGCACCUGGAACUGUUUGCUUUCCUGUAACCAUUUAUCCUUUUAACUUUUUGCCUGCUUUACUUCUGUAAGACUGUUUUAACUAGACUCCCCCGCUCCCCUUUCUAUACCAAAGCAUAAAAGAAAAUCUAGCCCCUUCUUCAGGGCCGAGAGAAUUUUGAGUGCUAGCCAUCUCUCAGUCACCAGCUAACAAAGGACUCCUGAAUUCGUCUCAGAGUGUGGCGUUUCUCGGUAACUCACUCGGUUACAUUUGGAGGCCCCAGCAAGAUUUCACCACCGGGUGAGUGCCGGACUCACUCUGGGAUCCCCCGGACAGAUGGUGGGCUUAUAGGGGAGGCACCACCUGAGAUGUUCCAGGGCCCUGUAGGCCACUGUCUUCUGGAGGGGAACGGAUCAACAGCCGGUGUGUGCCCACCAAAAUCAACUCCUGAGUCCUCCGUCUCUGGUCCCAGGAAGGUGUUUAAAUCCAGCUACUUUACUCCCUGAUCCAGACUUCACUACACCUGUCCAUUGACUGCCAGGCACUGCUAGAGACUACGGAAACUGACCAACCUGAUCUCCAAGAUGUGCCUUUAAAGGAAAUGGACGCCACCGUGUUUCCAGAUGGUAGCAGCUUCCUUGAACAAGGAAUACGAAAGGCUGGUGCAGCUGUUACAACAGAGACAGAAAUACUGUGGACUCAGGCAUUGCCGGCAGAUACCUCAGCACAAAAGGCUGAAUUGGUUGCUGUCACUCAGGCUCUCCGAUGGGGUAAGGACAAACGUAUUAACAUCUACACUGACAGCAGAUAUGCUUUUGCUACUGUACAUGUACACGGAGCCAUCUACCAAGAGCGAGGACUACUCACCUCAGCAGGAAAGAGUAUUAAAAACAAAGGAGAAAUUCUGGCCCUGCUUGAAGCUGUUUGGCUUCCUCAACAGGUAGCUGUAAUUUACUGCAAAGGACAUCAAAAAGAAGACAUGGCCGUUUCUCGUGCUAACCAAAGAGCAGACUCUGCAGCUCGGGGAGGCAGCUCGGCUUCCAGUCGCGCCUCUGACCCUGCUGCCUGCAGUGUCCUUUCCGCAACCUGACUUACCAGACCACCCAGAAUACUCCCCAGAGGAAGAAAAACAAGCUUCAGAUCUUCAGGUUAAUAAAAAUCAGGAAGGCUGGUGAAUUCUUCCUGAUUCCAGAAUCUUCAUGCCCCGGGCCCUCGGGGAAACUUCAGUCAGUCGUCUGCAUUCUACCACCCAUUUAGGAGGAGUAAAACUGUCCCAGCUUCUAAGGAGCUGUUUCAAGAUCCCCCACCUUCAAGACUUAGCUAACCAAGCAGCUCUCCGGUGCACAGCUUGUGCUCAGUCUCUCCAACAGGUACAAGACAUCAUCCAGCCACUGAUCCGGGGAGCUCAUCCCAACCCAGUUCCUGACCAGAUGGGGCCGUGCCACUCUUUCCAGCCAGGUGACCUGGUGUAUGUUAAAAAUUUCCAGAAAGAAGGACUCACUCCUGCCUGAAAAGGACCUCAUACUGUCAUCCUUACCACACCAACGGCCCUGAAAGUGGACAGCAUUCCGACUUGGAUUCAUCACUCUCGCAUCAAAAAGGUCAACAGAGCCCAGCAAGAAACACGGGUCCCCAGGCCUGGGCCAGGCCCCUUAAAACAGAGCCUACGUCGAGUGAAGCCAUCAGAUUAAUUCUUUUUAUUUACCUCUGUUGUUUGUUUCUGCCUAUUAUGCCCUCUGCUCCAUCCUACUCUUUCCCCCUCACCUCUUUCAUGACAGGACGUGUGUUUGCAAACACUACUUGGAGGGCAGGAACCUCCAAGGAAGUCUCUUUUGCAGUCGAUUAAUGUGCUUUGUUCCCAGAGCCUUCCUGUGCCCAUGAAGAACAAUGCAAUCUGCCGGUCAUGGGAGCGGGGAGUGUCGACCUUGCUGUGGGAUUUGGACACUCCGGAAGCCAGACUGGAUGUAGAAACUCCAAAGGUGCAGAACAAGAACUUCAGAAUGUUGACUUUUACCUCCUGGAAAUCACCCUGACUCUAGUUGUGGAGAUUCUUACCAGUUUUUCUGCCCUGACUGGACAUGCGUAAUCUUGGCCACCUACUCUGGGGGAUCAACCCGAUGUUCUACCCUUUCCACAGCUCGUGCUUCCUGACCUAAACUGUGUAUUAAGAGAAAUUGUAAUCUCCUUACUAUAACUAUCCAUAACCCUAAUUUAGCUCAAUGGUAUUACAUCAUGUCAUGGGGAUUAAGGCUUUAUAUCUCAGGAUUUGAUGUCAGAACUAUGUUCACCAUCCAGAAGAAAAUCCUGGUCUCAUGGAGCCCUCCUAAGACAAUCGGGCCUUUAACUGAUUUAGGUGACCCUAUGUUCCAAAAACACCCAGACAGGGUCGAUUUAACUGUCCUGCUACCAUUCCUGGUUCCCAAACCUCAGCUGCAAUGACAGCACCUCCAACCCAGCCUGCUGUCCAUUCUGGGCGGGGUACAUCACCUCCUCAAUCUUACCCAGCCUAAACUAGCCCAAGAUUGUUGGUUGUGCCUAAAGGCCAAACCCCCAUGUUAUGUUGGAUUAGGAGUAAAAGCCGCACUUAAAAUUGGCUCUCUUUCUUGUUGUACACGCGCCCAUGUCCUCACAUUAGGAGACGUGUCCGGAAAUGCUUCUUGUUUAAUUAGCACCAGAUAUAACUUAUCUGCUUCUCCCUUUCAGGCUACCUGUAAUCAGUCUCUACUUACUUCCUUAAGUGCCGCAGUCUCCUACCAGGCACCUAACAAUACCUGGUUAGCCUGCACUUCAGGUCUCACACGCUGCAUCAGUGGGACUGAACCAGAACCUCUCCUGUGUGUGUUGGUUCAUGUGCUCCCCCAGGUCAACGUGUGUAGUGGGCCAGAAGGACAACUUCUCAUCGCUCCCCCUGAAUUACAUUCCAGGUUUCGCCGAGCCGCCCCACUCCUCGUACCCCUUCUGACCAGCCUUAGCAUAGCCGGAUCACAGCCGCCCUGGUUCAGGGAGAAACUGGGCUAAUGUCCCUGUCUCAACAAGUAGAUGCUGAUUUAAGCAAUCUCUGAUCAGCCAUAAAUAUACUACAUACCCAAGUAGAGUCUCUAGCUGAAGUAGCUCUUCAAAACCGCCAAGGCUUAGAUCUGCUGUUUCUCUCCCAAGGAAGGUUAUGUGCCACUCUGGGAGAGAGUUGUUGCUUCUACGCCAAUCAGUCCGGGGUCAUAAAAAAUCCUCUCCAAAAAAUUCAAAAAAAUCUAGAUAGACGCCAACAGGAAUGGGAAAAUAACACCCCCUGGUACCAAAGCAUGUUUAACUGGAAUCUGUGGCUAACUACUCUAAUCACUGGGUUAGCUGGACCCCUUCCCCUCCUAUUGUUAGGCUUAGUCUUUGGGCCUUGUAUAUUAAAUUGGUUUCUUAACUUUAUAAAGCAAUUCUGUCAAGCUUAUGUAUCUUAAAACCCAAUAUAACCCCCUUGUUAUAACUGAGGAAUCAAUGAUUUUAUUCCCCAAAAACACAAGUGGGGAAUGUGGUACCUUACCUUGUUUUAACCUGAACUGACUCUCCUUUAGCUAAGAGAGCCAGACAGACUCCAUAUUGGCUCCUUCACUCGCAGCUCCCUACCCACUCCCCUUCCUCAAGGACUUGUGCAAGCUGACUCCCAGCACAUCCAAGAAUGUAAUUAACUGAUAAGAUACUGUGGCAAGCUAUAUCCGCAGUUCCCAGGAAUUCGCCCAGUUAGUAGCGCCCAGAGCCCCUGUGUUUGUGUCUGUGUUUGUGUCUGGUUGAUAACGCCCAAAGCCCCGCGCCUAUCACCUUGUGACAGAUUUAAAGCCUCUGCACCUGGAACUGUUUGCUUUCCUGUAACCAUUUAUCCUUUUAACUUUUUGCCUGCUUUACUUCUGUAAGAUUGUUUUAACUAGACUCCCCCGCUCCCCUUUCUAUACCAAAGCAUAAAAGAAAAUCUAGCCCCUUCCUCAGGGCCGAGAGAAUUUUGAGUGCUAGCCAUCUCUCAGUCACCAGCUAAUAAAGGACUCCUGAGUUUGUCUCA
This is a non-coding RNA of Macaca mulatta (Rhesus monkey), 4239 nucleotides long. The record is from RefSeq and is a predicted model, not a curated record. Lineage: Eukaryota; Metazoa; Chordata; Mammalia; Primates; Cercopithecidae.